CGCAUGACCAGGGAGGUCAGACUGGCCCAUCACAAUCGCCUUGGAAUCUAUGACGGUUGUUGCCAGGCCAGCGUGGGCAUGAGGUGCAUGCUGCUCUGCCUGCGGCUGCUCAUAGCCGGCCCGGUUAACCUGGGCUGCCAGCCAGUGCCCAAAGCCAGCAUCUUCCAUCUGAGGAGCCUAUAGCACUUUCCAAGCACUAACAUUAUGGCCGUCUGCCAGGGUCAGUAUUAUCAGCCCUCAACCACGGAUGGGGAAACUGAAGCACAGAGCAGUGAGGUGACUUGCCCAUCUCAGCAGGCCCAGGAAGAAAACCCAGCUGCCAUCACAUCCAGCCUCCAUCAGAGAAGAGAUGCCACCUGAGCAGGAGGAUUGGUUACAAAACAACCUAGGAAGGCGGAAGAGCUGCCAACUGUGGAGUCUCACAAGACAAGGUGGUUUUCUUAAAGCCCCAGCUCCUGGAGUCAGGGGAUUAGGUGAGGUUCUCAGCUUUCCUUAAAAAAUAUAAAUGUCUAGUACUGCUGCCUGUGGAGAGAAGCUGGGAAUUGUGAGCCACAUGCAGCCCAAGGGCUCGGAGAGAGAACUCCUCUUACCCCCAC
This is a long non-coding RNA of Mauremys reevesii (Reeves's turtle), 596 nucleotides long. RefSeq lists it as uncharacterized. The record is from RefSeq and is a predicted model, not a curated record. The transcript has 3 exons. Lineage: Eukaryota; Metazoa; Chordata; Testudines; Geoemydidae.